CUACGGGGCGCACCAGUCGAGAAUCUUUCGCAAUGGACGCAAGUCUGACGAUGCGACGCCGCGUGAGCGAUGAAGGUCUUCGGAUCGUAAAGCUCUGUCAAGCGGGACGAACGUCCUGAAGGCUAAUAGCCUGAUGGGCUGACUGUACCGCUAGAGGAAGCCACGGCUAACUCCGUGCCAGCAGCCGCGGUAAUACGGAGGUGGCUAACGUUGUUCGGAUUCAUUGGGUGUAAAGGGUAUGUAGGUGGCCCUGUAAGUCGGAUGUGAAAUCCUUUGGCUCAACCAAAGAACUGCAUUCGAUACUGCAAGGCUUGAGUUUCGAAGAGGAGAGUGGAAUUCCUAGUGUAAGAGUGAAAUCUGUAGAUAUUAGGAGGAACACCAGUGGCGAAAGCGACUCUCUGGUCGAAAACUGACACUGAAAUACGAAAGCUAAGGGAGCAAACAGGAUUAGAUACCCUCGUAGUC
This 465-nucleotide ribosomal RNA is filed under the name uncultured bacterium. RNAcentral's name for it is "partial 16S ribosomal RNA". It matches the Rfam family "Bacterial small subunit ribosomal RNA", at positions 339 to 795 of the family's 1533-position model. The record is from RNAcentral.